This 438-nucleotide ribosomal RNA is filed under the name Staphylococcus hominis subsp. novobiosepticus. RNAcentral's name for it is "bacterial SSU rRNA". It matches the Rfam family "Bacterial small subunit ribosomal RNA", at positions 591 to 1026 of the family's 1533-position model. The record is from RNAcentral. Lineage: Bacteria; Bacillati; Bacillota; Bacilli; Caryophanales; Staphylococcaceae.
GAUGUGAAAGCCCACGGCUCAACCGUGGAGGGUCAUUGGAAACUGGAAAACUUGAGUGCAGAAGAGGAAAGUGGAAUUCCAUGUGUAGCGGUGAAAUGCGCAGAGAUAUGGAGGAACACCAGUGGCGAAGGCGACUUUCUGGUCUGUAACUGACGCUGAUGUGCGAAAGCGUGGGGAUCAAACAGGAUUAGAUACCCUGGUAGUCCACGCCGUAAACGAUGAGUGCUAAGUGUUAGGGGGUUUCCGCCCCUUAGUGCUGCAGCUAACGCAUUAAGCACUCCGCCUGGGGAGUACGACCGCAAGGUUGAAACUCGAAGGAAUUGACGGGGACCCGCACAAGCGGUGGAGCAUGUGGUUUAAUUCCAAGCAACGCGAAGAACCUUACCAAAUCUUGACAUCCUUUGACCCUUCUAGAGAUACAAUUUUCCCCUUCGGGGG